GACGAACGCUGGCGGCGUGCCUAAUACAUGCAAGUAGAACGCACAGUUUAUACCGUAGCUUGCUACACCAUAGACUGUGAGUUGCGAACGGGUGAGUAACGCGUAGGUAACCUGCCUGGUAGCGGGGGAUAACUAUUGGAAACGAUAGCUAAUACCGCAUAAUAUUAAUUAUUGCAUGAUAAUUAAUUGAAAGGUGCAAUUGCACCACUACCAGAUGGACCUGCGUUGUAUUAGCUAGUAGGUGAGGUAACGGCUCACCUAGGCGACGAUACAUAGCCGACCUGAGAGGGUGAGCGGCCACACUGGGACUGAGACACGGCCCAGACUCCUACGGGAGGCAGCAGUAGGGAAUCUUCGGCAAUAGACGAAAGUCUGACCGAGCAACGCCGCGUGAGUGAAGAAGGUUUUCGGAUCGUAAAGCUCGGUUGUAAGAGAAGAACGGGUGUGAGAGUGGAAAGUUCACACUGUGACGGUAUCUUACCAGAAAGGGACGGCUAACUACGUG
RNAcentral lists this ribosomal RNA (505 nucleotides) under uncultured bacterium. Its description in RNAcentral is "partial 16S ribosomal RNA". It matches the Rfam family "Bacterial small subunit ribosomal RNA", at positions 28 to 507 of the family's 1533-position model. The record is from RNAcentral.